GUGUGACUUUUAUUUCCUCAUCAGAUCAUGGAGCACACUCGAGCCAUGCCAGUCAUAUCGUCCUCAACACAAACGUGUUGGCUGUUGGUGUUAGUGCUGGUGACAUGGGUAGAUUGUGCUUUUGAACACACCCAGCCCAGCUCCAUGACUGUAAAGCCAGGAGAGUCUCUGACAAUCACCUGCAAAGUGACUGGGGCAUCUAUUACAGAUAGCAGCUACUAUGCAACAGCAUGGAUUCGUCAGGCAGCAGGGAAACCCCUGGUUUGGAUCAACACACUCCUCUAUCAGAAAACCAAAUAUGAAAAUAAUGCCCUGAAGAACAAGUUCAGCAUCUCCAGAGACACCUCCAGUAACACAGUCACCCUGCAAGGCCUGAAUCUGCAGCCUGAAGACACAGCUGUGUACUACUGCGCUCGUUACCCACGGCAUUACAAUAAGCUACAAUGCUGUACCAAAACCUCCCACACAUAACACACCAGACAUAGAAAUCUAAAAAUAUUAAUAUAACAUAAAAAGUUGCCAACAUUUGCCAACACACAUUUUAAGAAAUUUUAAAU
This is a non-coding RNA of Clupea harengus (Atlantic herring), 557 nucleotides long. The record is from the annotation of a RefSeq genome assembly. NCBI's taxonomy places the organism in Eukaryota, Metazoa, Chordata, Actinopteri, Clupeiformes, Clupeidae.